RNAcentral lists this transfer RNA (64 nucleotides) under Euprymna berryi. RNAcentral describes it as "tRNA-Leu". Lineage: Eukaryota; Metazoa; Mollusca; Cephalopoda; Sepiida; Sepiolidae. The record is from RNAcentral.
AUAAAGUUGGCAGAGUAGUGUGAAUAAUUUAGGUUUAUUUUAUAAGAUAAUAUCUUACUUUAUA